GACGGAGGGUGCAAGCGUUGUUCGGAAUUACUGGGCGUAAAGCGCGGGCAGGUGGCCUUUUAAGUCCUUUGUGAAAUUCCGGAGCUCAACUCCGGAUGUGCAUAGGAUACUGCCUUGCUCGAGUACUGGAGAGGGAACUGGAAUUUACGGUGUAGCAGUGAAAUGCGUAGAGAUCGUAAGGAAGGCCAGUGGCGAAGGCGAGUUCCUGGACAGUUACUGACGCUGAGGCACGAAGGCCAGGGGAGCAAACGGG
This 253-nucleotide ribosomal RNA is filed under the name uncultured bacterium. Its description in RNAcentral is "partial 16S ribosomal RNA". It matches the Rfam family "Bacterial small subunit ribosomal RNA", at positions 524 to 776 of the family's 1533-position model. The record is from RNAcentral.